GUCGUGUCACAUGAACUCUCUGUUGAAGGCCUUUCUGCAAGACUUUCUUGGAUGGCUGCAUCAAAUGACCCUGAUCCUUCCUUCAGGUUGACAAAAAGAUCAUUGAUAGAAUCCAGGCUCCCUCCGCAUUAGCAUCACUGCCCUCAGGGUGGCGCUCAAGAGUGACUCCAGCUCAUCAGGAGCCAGAGGAGGGCAGAGGCUGGGUUUGCUCCCAGGCGGCCUUGGUGGGACACAUGGGCCCCUGACUUGAAGGAUGGCUCAGCUGCCAUUGACACAUGUGUGGGACUACAGAGGUCUGGGUCCCCUUCAAGCUCCCCGGCCAGAGCCCCACAUAGACCUGACCCAUCUGGCUAAGUUUCCUAGGGCCUCCCUAAAUUGCUGAGACUGGCCUCCACCUUGCCAUCCUCCUGCCUUGUCUCCUGAGUCGCUAGGGUCACAGACUUUCACCACCCGGCUCUGCCCUGCAACAGCUCCAUGAAGCACCUAUCAGGAGGCCCGGGCCCAAACUAGUAGGUCACUGCGCCUAAACUAGUAGGUGACUGCGUUGGUUAGCCAGCUUGGCUAGGCUAUGGUACCAGGUUUGGGGCAAACAUCGUAAUGGAUGUUUCUGUGAAGGUAUUUUGGGAAAGAGAUUAAUUUUAAAAUCUGCUUUGAGUAAAGCAGAUUAUGUUCCAUAAUGCUGUGGCCCUUGUCCAAUAAGUUGAAAGCCUGACAAGAAAAGACACCCCUCUGCAUAGGAAGGAGUCUUGUCUCCAGACUGCUGCUUUUGAACUCAGGACUGCCAUUUUAACUCCUGCUAGGAUUUGCAGACUCUCAGACUGCCCUGAAAAUUUCAUACUUGCCAGCCCCACCAUGUCCUAAGCCAUUUCCUUAAAAUUAAAGUCGUCCAUCACUUAAAGAUGGAGAUAGAUUCUGAGAAACCUGUUAGGUGAUUUCUUUUUAUUUUGGUGGGGGGACAGGGAUACUGGGAAUUGAACCAAGGGGUGCUCUUCUACUGAAC
Molecule: long non-coding RNA, 1000 nt
Filed under: Marmota monax (woodchuck)
Lineage: Eukaryota; Metazoa; Chordata; Mammalia; Rodentia; Sciuridae
Source: RNAcentral